UGAAACACCUGUACUGCGUUUGUGACACUCACUUUCAUGCCUAACCAUUCACCGUGCUAGCCUUUGUUGUGAUGCUUCUACCUCUGACUCAUCGAGCCAAUGAGCCAGUUAAUGCUGACUGGAAGAAGUGGUUUUCCUUCAUCACUCUGCCAGUCAAUAGAAGAUAAGGGUUCAUUUCCUCUGCUCCAUUUCCCCAAAGCUGUGAGCCGGCCAGUGAGAGGUCCAGAGCUGUGAGGGGCAGAUCUCUGUAGCCAAAGCUCACCAGCUGGACCGGAGGAGCCAGGAGCCGGUUCUCAUCCUCCACCGGCUGGGAGAUGAUCUCCAAGUCUGACAGACCUUCCUGAUCCACUUCUCUAGUUAUAUGCCAAACCCAGCAACAGAUGGGCCGAACAUGUACAAACAGGCAGACAUAAGAGAGAAAAAGAUUUAGAAAAUGAAGAUUUAUUUUAGAAACGAGUACAAAAAUAUCAAAUCAGUAACGUCAGCUUGGACCCAACAGAUGGGGAAAUUCAAAUUAAAAUGUGGCUGAUUUUAAAAAUAAAAUUGCAAACUUAA
Long non-coding RNA from Gambusia affinis (western mosquitofish), 555 nucleotides. RefSeq lists it as uncharacterized. The transcript has 3 exons. NCBI's taxonomy places the organism in Eukaryota, Metazoa, Chordata, Actinopteri, Cyprinodontiformes, Poeciliidae. The record is from RefSeq and is a predicted model, not a curated record.